This 981-nucleotide ribosomal RNA is filed under the name Nocardia cyriacigeorgica. Its description in RNAcentral is "bacterial SSU rRNA". It matches the Rfam family "Bacterial small subunit ribosomal RNA", at positions 61 to 1060 of the family's 1533-position model. The record is from RNAcentral. Lineage: Bacteria; Bacillati; Actinomycetota; Actinomycetes; Mycobacteriales; Nocardiaceae.
GUCGAGCGGUAAGGCCCUUCGGGGUACACGAGCGGCGAACGGGUGAGUAACACGUGGGUGAUCUGCCUCGCACUCUGGGAUAAGCCUGGGAAACUGGGUCUAAUACCGGAUAUGACCUUACAUCGCAUGGUGUUUGGUGGAAAGAUUUAUCGGUGCGAGAUGGGCCCGCGGCCUAUCAGCUUGUUGGUGGGGUAAUGGCCUACCAAGGCGACGACGGGUAGCCGGCCUGAGAGGGCGACCGGCCACACUGGGACUGAGACACGGCCCAGACUCCUACGGGAGGCAGCAGUGGGGAAUAUUGCACAAUGGGCGAAAGCCUGAUGCAGCGACGCCGCGUGAGGGAUGACGGCCUUCGGGUUGUAAACCUCUUUCGACAGGGACGAAGCGCAAGUGACGGUACCUGUAGAAGAAGCACCGGCCAACUACGUGCCAGCAGCCGCGGUAAUACGUAGGGUGCGAGCGUUGUCCGGAAUUACUGGGCGUAAAGAGCUUGUAGGCGGCUUGUCGCGUCGAUCGUGAAAACUUGGGGCUCAACCCCAAGCUUGCGGUCGAUACGGGCAGGCUUGAGUACUUCAGGGGAGACUGGAAUUCCUGGUGUAGCGGUGAAAUGCGCAGAUAUCAGGAGGAACACCGGUGGCGAAGGCGGGUCUCUGGGAAGUAACUGACGCUGAGAAGCGAAAGCGUGGGUAGCGAACAGGAUUAGAUACCCUGGUAGUCCACGCCGUAAACGGUGGGUACUAGGUGUGGGUUUCCUUCCACGGGAUCCGUGCCGUAGCUAACGCAUUAAGUACCCCGCCUGGGGAGUACGGCCGCAAGGCUAAAACUCAAAGGAAUUGACGGGGGCCCGCACAAGCGGCGGAGCAUGUGGAUUAAUUCGAUGCAACGCGAAGAACCUUACCUGGGUUUGACAUACACCGGAAACCUGCAGAGAUGUAGGCCCCCUUGUGGUCGUGUACAGGUGGUGCAUGGCUGUCGUCAGCU